Molecule: long non-coding RNA, 419 nt
Filed under: Mytilus galloprovincialis (Mediterranean mussel)
Lineage: Eukaryota; Metazoa; Mollusca; Bivalvia; Mytilida; Mytilidae
Source: RNAcentral
AAAAUUGAUGUUACAUCAUAAUUAAAGCUUUAUGAAGUUAUUAAAUAGCUAUAGUCUCCUUAGAAAGCUUUUUUAAUUCUUCUUCAAAAAGUUAAAAUGUACCAAGCCUUCAUUGAUGGUAAACGCUGGUCUCAACUUUUGUUUUAUAUAUUAAAAUGGCAAGCUUUAAAAAAUUUACAACGGAACUACUGAAUAACAAGUUUGUGUCCAAAGUACAUUGAUACCCCACUUGCACUAUCAUUUUCUUUGUUCAGUGGACCAUGAAAUCUAGGUCAAAACUCUAAUUUGGCAUUAUUAUUAAAAAGAUCAUAUCAUAGAGAACAAGCCUCAGGUUUUAAAUAAAAAAAUUAACUGUCUAGAGUGGAUAGUUAUCGUAUCAUACUCAAUACAGUGGUAGAAUCUAUAUGCAUACAUUUGCA